This 253-nucleotide ribosomal RNA is filed under the name uncultured bacterium. RNAcentral describes it as "partial 16S ribosomal RNA". It matches the Rfam family "Bacterial small subunit ribosomal RNA", at positions 524 to 776 of the family's 1533-position model. The record is from RNAcentral.
UACGAAGGGGGCUAGCGUUGCUCGGAAUGACUGGGCGUAAAGGGCGCGUAGGCGGCGGUCCCAGUCAGAUGUGAAAUUCCUGGGCUUAACCUGGGGGCUGCAUUUGAUACGUGGUUGCUUGAGUGGGGAAGAGGGUCGUGGAAUUCCCAGUGUAGAGGUGAAAUUCGUAGAUAUUGGGAAGAACACCGGUGGCGAAGGCGGCGACCUGGUCCUUGACUGACGCUGAGGCGCGAAAGCGUGGGGAGCAAACAGG